This 763-nucleotide ribosomal RNA is filed under the name Phomopsis mali. Its description in RNAcentral is "SSU rRNA". It matches the Rfam family "Eukaryotic small subunit ribosomal RNA", at positions 621 to 1411 of the family's 1831-position model. The record is from RNAcentral. Lineage: Eukaryota; Fungi; Ascomycota; Sordariomycetes; Diaporthales; Diaporthaceae.
AAAAAGCUCGUAGUUGAACCUUGGGCCUGGCUGGCCGGUCUGCCUCACCGCAUGCACUGGUCCGGCCGGGCCUUUCCCUCUGGGGAGCCGCAUGCCCUUCACUGGGUGUGUCGGGGAACCAGGACUUUUACUGUGAAAAAAUUAGAGUGUUCAAAGCAGGCAUAUGCUCGAAUACAUUAGCAUGGAAUAAUAGAAUAGGACGUCGCGGUUCUAUUUUGUUGGUUUCUAGGACCGCCGUAAUGAUUAAUAGGGACAGUCGGGGGCAUCAGUAUUCAAUCGUCAGAGGUGAAAUUCUUGGAUCGAUUGAAGACUAACUACUGCGAAAGCAUUUGCCAAGGAUGUUUUCAUUAAUCAGGAACGAAAGUUAGGGGAUCGAAAACGAUCAGAUACCGUUGUAGUCUUAACCAUAAACUAUGCCGACUAGGGAUCGGGCGGUGUUAUUUCUUGACCCGCUCGGCACCUUACACGAAAGUAAAGUUUUUGGGUUCUGGGGGGAGUAUGGUCGCAAGGCUGAAACUUAAAGAAAUUGACGGAAGGGCACCACAAGGGGCGGAGCCUGCGGCUUAAUUUGACUCAACACGGGGAAACUCACCAGGUCCAGACACAACUAGGAUUGACAGAUUGAGAGCUCUUUCUUGAUUUUGUGGGUGGUGGUGCAUGGCCGUUCUUAGUUGGUGGAGUGAUUUGUCUGCUUAAUUGCGAUAACGAACGAGACCUUAACCUGCUAAAUAGCCCGUGCCGCCUAGGCGGCACGCCGGCUUCU